Molecule: long non-coding RNA, 12461 nt
Organism: Gallus gallus (chicken)
Lineage: Eukaryota; Metazoa; Chordata; Aves; Galliformes; Phasianidae
Exons: 6
Source: RefSeq, a predicted model, not a curated record
GCAGUUUGGCAGUGAGCAUCUGAGCAGUGAGGAAACCAGUGCUGGUGGGGCCUGGAGUCUGGAUUUGGAGAAAAGGGCCUCCAGCCCACGGGCUGUGCAGGAUUUCAGGUGCUUCCAGUGCAGCUGGGGUGAGGGACCAGCAGAAAACCUCCUCCUGAAAGUGUCUGUGCUUUGUCUGGCUCUAAGUAGUGCUUUCUGGAGAACGAGACAAGAAAGCAAAGAAGGAGGAGAAAGGAGAAGAAAAUGUAAGAAACGGAAAGAAAAGCAGAGGAAAGAAAGGGAAAGAAAAGGAACAAAAGGAAAAAGUAGCAAAACUGGUAUCAGGAAAAGAAACACCAAGUCCCAAACAAACAUGUUUGUGAUAGAGGAAAUGGAUUUUUGAACCCUUGCAAUGUUUGGUCUUUUGGGUUGUCAGCAGCGCGUUGCGUGCUGAGCACAGGGCAGUGUGAUGGAAAUACCUAUGAAGGCAGCCCGACCGAGGUACUGUACCAGGAAAUGCCCUGCUUUCUUGACUACCUCGCGCACGAUACUAUGGUUAAACCCAAGAGCGUGCCUCAUCAUAACAUGUGCCUUAUCGACCUUGCUAUCUGAUGACAACAGCAGCCCUCAGGAGACCAGACUGACAUCAUCCAAAACCUCAGUAGUUCAGAGCACAAACUGAUGUAGCUAGGCUGCCCGCUGUGCAGGACUGUUUAUCUGUUUGCACUGAACUUGCAGGCACUUUGUUAGAGGAAUAUAAAAAUCAAGCCCAAACAGCUUUUUAAGAAAUGUUUCUCGUAAACUAUCACGCUAUUUAGCACAUGGAUGAAAGGGUAAAAACCUCUUCCUCUGCAUCCAAGUAGAAAGAGUCUGGCCUGCAGCUUUCUGCAGCGUUUGAGAGGGGGAGAGAAGCCCAGAACACCACUGCUGCCAUAAGGAGAAGUGGCACCACCGGUGAUUCGGUACCAGUCCCCAUUCCCAGCCGGCCCGGAUGUUCUCGGGUCUGGCUGCGGGGUUUGGGCUCACCCCACAUGAGGCAGAGGCCAGCUGUCUGUCUGUCUGUCUGAGCUCUGCACCCUCACAUCGAGGUCCAGGGCUGGGUGGCUCGCAGUCAUGUUGGUCUCCUCAUUUGGUUGCUGCCGGCUCACAGCAGCAAACCACAUGGCUCUGGCCUCCUGGCCUCCUCUCUAAUGCAAGAUGAGGGGAAUUUCUGCAGUAACAGAAAUAAGAAACAGAAAAUAGACCAGGCUCUUCUUGUGUAAUAUUCACAGAGUGCUCUGUUUUCAAUUUGCUCUCCCUUUCCCGGCUUCUUCAAAACACCUUCUCUCAUUUACGUCAGCACAGAUUUACCACACCCCACUCGUUUCAGACCUGGAUAGCCCCAUGGAAAAAGAUUACCAGCCUUUCGGAGUGCAGCUUUAUGUCUCGGACAAAGGAAGAUCAUACGGGGCCGUAUUUAUUUGUGAGCCGCCUUUAUAUUUGCACGGCACCUAGCACAAACGAGCUUUCAGAGGGAAAUGAAGCCGGAUUUAAGCACUGAAUGCAUGCAUAGCAACAAGAGGAGGGCCAUCCAGCGCAAGGAUGCUAAGUGUCCCUUUACAGCCCCCAUUGAGGCCCAGCACCCACCUCCCGGGGCGAUGCAGGGCAUGGCUGUGCCAUGACCCCGGGCGAGGAGCAGCUUCCCCGAUUCCACUCCGGAAGGUUUGAGAGGGCUCCUCGUAAAGCCAAAUCUUGGAGAUACUGAAGUUUUGUGGAUCGUUAUGAUUUUGAUCCCCAGAAGAAGGAAAGCACCAAAAGGGAUUUCUGGAAGUGCCACGUGAUUCCUUUCCUACUGAGCAAAGUAUUUUCUUAUUGUAGAAAUUGAAUGGAUUUGUUAAUUGCAUUUUGGGUUAUCCCGGGCUCUAGAUAGAUUGUCCUUUACUCAAGUCAAUGUAAAUAAACACAGCUCCUCUGAACCCCUGCCUAGGUAAGCCAGAUUGAGAGAAGCUCAUAUGAAUGGUAUUAUGGGCUGAUGGCUACCGCAGGGACAUAAGGUUAGAGCUGGGCUCCAUUCUAUGCAGAAAUGGGGACUGGUCUGUAAAAUGGAUCAAAUGGUUCCCAGCUCUCUAAAGCACUUUGGAAGCAAGUUGUGGUUUCGAAUGUGUUUGUAGCUCCCUGCGUAAGAAAAGUGUACAGAUAAGCUUUAGAAACUGAGGGAGUGUCUUGAGUGCUAAAAGAAGGUUUUUUAGUACAAAAAGUACUCAAGCUCAAAUUGAAUCAAAUUCAUGUUUCAUUCUAGGAAUCACUGAAAUUAUAGAAAAAGAAAAAACAAACAACAUACCCCCGUCACAGUACUUUACCAAAUCUCAGAAGUAACCAAAAACACCCGAUAAACACUGUGCUAUGCAAGAAGCUCAGUUUUAUUUCCAGACAACUAGAUAAGAUGAUCUUAACAGAGCUGUUAACUUGUGAGUAGAUCUGUAACUCUGUGUUGACAGUAACCACAUUAACUGCAUUUAGGGUAAAUGCAGAACACCAAACUGGCAGUGAUGCAUCACUUACGCCCUAUCUAUGCUGUAUUUCAAGCGCAAGUGGUACUUGGCUAGUGGGUUGGCCUGGCAGCUUGAGAGCAAAUCUGCUUGCUGCACUGGUUUGUGUUUAGCAGCCUGAAAGGCACUGGUGCUGUUUCCAGCUGUUUGGGACACAUGUGUGCAAGCGAUGUAUUUGAUGAGAAUACACAUCUUGUUGAGAUAGGUUAAAACUGAAAGCGUGGGGGGAGAUGAACCUGAGAGGGUUCCUGGCAGUGUUUCUUCUGCAACUCAGCUUCUUGAAUCAGCAGCUUGGGAACAAAUUGCAACAUGGUCCUUAGAAACGUCAUUGCUGUAUGGGUUGAACUGGCUAUUUGCGCAGGAGCCUCUGAUGUUGCACUGUUGUGCAGAAGUAGCGUUGUCUCUAUCUGCUCGUAAUCUGACUGAGGUGGGUGGGGCUAAACUGUAUUGAGCCUCUGUCGCUGCUUGGGUAGAUCAUGCAGGGCACGCAUUUCACGUGGCACCCGCCGCAACCACGUGGGCGCAACCAUGGCCGCACAGCCUACCUCUGGCCCCUCAGCAUCUCCUCUGCACUCGUCCUUACCCCCAUGCCAGGAGAAGUCUGACCUCGCCUGCAGUGCCCUGCUGUGCUGCCGGCCGUGGCCUCCAUGGUGGGAAUCCAACCUGACCUUCCCGGCCCCUGCUGUUCCUGCCCUGUCCCAUUCAGAAACUGUUAAUCAUCCUGAACUACUUACGGGUUUUGUGAUCUCAAACAGGGCUUGAACUCAACUUUCUAGAGGUGAAAACAUAACGUCUUACUGUAACUCAUUUUACCAGCCAAUCCUAUCCUGAACCUAGCAAUAUUUUAAUCACAAAAUCCAACCUCAAAACCCACAGCAUUUUCAGUUACUGUAUUUCAUCACCACACAGCUCAAAACAACUCUUUUUUUUCAACCACCCUUGUUUUUUUUACAGUGAAUCACAAACCAUGGAACUUAACAGACGGAAAAGACCCGGAGAAAUUCUCUCUCACUGACCCUGGUGUAUAUAAGGAAUAAUAUAAUUAGAGUAAAAAACGUCUCUUUACAGUCGCACGGGUAUAGCAGAGUUCUAGGAGUCAGCCUCCUCUUUGUUGAGACAGAUAGACCAUCCUAAACAAGCAAAAAAGCACUGGUGCUUCAAAAUGGUUGUGGUGAUGCCUGUUUAAAUCAGCCUAAGGAACGGAGCACUUUUUUUCCCCAGAAGGCAAUUCCAUGCUCUGCGAGAUUUUACCAUUACGCUUUAUUUCCUGGUAGGUCUCCUGCUGCUCACUUUGCUGCUAUUCUUGGCCAUGCCUCCUUGAAUCACACCAAGGAAUAAUUAACAAUAAUAUAACUCUGGGUGUCAGCAGGUUUUGCCCACCAGAAGAAUGUUAGCCAUCAUGAAUGCUCUGUGCAGUACCCACUAAUAUUGUUCAGCUGUUCCUGGGAAGGCUGGUCCCUCUUAGUCACUGGUUUAUUGGUGAGAAAACUGGGACACGGGAAUUUAAACUCUCAUAGAAAGACUACAGGACAGCCAAGGGAGAACACCUGAUCUUCGGGCUGUCACUCCUAAGCAACAGCCACCUUUCUUCCCAUGGUGAUUACACUCCUGAGAAUCAAUGGGUGUUUCACAACUGAUGAUGUGUUUACAGUUCCCAGCCUCAGUGUGCCCAGCCUUAGAGGUGCUGGGACAAUGACUUAUAGUGCAUGUAGUGCUUGUACUGAGGGGCUGAAAUGGGGCCUUCAGCCCUGGGCUGCAAUCCCAGCCUCACUGGCAGUGAAGUAAAUCGGAGUUACUCUGGAGUGAAGGACGUGCAUCCAACAGCACCAUCUGGCCCACACAACUUUGUGUAAAGCAUGGCCCUUGUGUUUGGCAUUGUUAGCCCCUGUUGGCAUCCAUGCUGGCAAUGGCCAUGCCUGGGGUUGCGCCGGAGGGGAUGUGCAGAGCUUUCCCACCACCAUCUCCGCAGGCCCCUCCAGGGCAGGACAGAUCCAGCCGUGACCCAAAUGGAAUACCCUUUGCGCCUUGAUCAACUUCAUGCAUCUUCCUAUCUGGGGGCUUGCAAAAUUAGCACUCAAAGAUUUUCCCCCAGCCCUGUUCCCUCUAAGUUACACCCACAUUUUUCUCAUGAGUGACUCACUGUUAAAACAGAAUGUUUCUCCAGCUAGAAUUCUAUGCUAUGUAUUAGAAACAGCUGAGCUGCCGUAAUAGCAAGUUGCCUGGGUGUCUGUGAGACCAUGUGUGCCUGAGUGUAUGGACAUGCACACAUGUGUACAUAUGCUUUCUGUUUUCAAUUUGAGUUUCUCUUUUGCCCUUUCCACUCCUUUUCCUUUCAGUUUCUUCUAUUUAUUUAUUUUCCCCCCUCCCCCUCUUCUUCUGUGCAUGUAAAAUAUAUCCACAAACACAUUCAGGGUUUGAAGAGCAGUAUCAAAUGACCUCAUCCAUUCAUUUGUGGAUAAACAGAAGGAAGACCAUGGAGUUAUUUCAUGUGGUGCAAGAAAAAAGAGUUAAACCAGAUCAGUUUAAGUUAAACAAAGGAAAGCUUGAAAUGAAACAACAGGAACAACAUCCUUGGUUUGUUAGAUUGAGGCAUAAUUACUUUCUCCGGAGCAAUGAUUGUGCAUUGGAGUGACAGUGCUGCUGUGUGCACCUCUGAAAUCAGCACACAGUAAGUCACGGGGGCAGAGCUGUCAGAUGGCAGGUUUCUUGGGGUGAUAAAAAGGCCAUAUGUGAGGUUGAUGUAAAGGAAAAUUCCAAUGACUGGGCGCAGUAUUUAGAGAACAUAAACAAGAGGGUUGAGGGUAGGACAUGCUCAUAUGUAAAGGUUGUUCCCACUUACGUUACCACCCACUGAAGCCUUCCCCAGAAAUCUCAUACAAUCAGUCCCUUUGCGAAAGUUACAAAGCCAGGUAGGUUGGGGAUGUGCUGAAGGUAAGAACUGUUCUGGGAAGCUAACCCCACAGCACAUCUGCCAUUCAGCCUGAAGGAGCACAGCGCUGUCUUUGUGAUAUGGUGCCACGAGGGCACACGUCUCUAUUCCACUCCCACCUCUGCCAUCUUCUGCCACUGUGUCCCAGCUGAUGCCAUCAUGGCUGCCAGGGCACCCUGCUCUCACCUGUGCACCGGGGUGGGGAAACAGAUUUGGUUGCUUUGUUGCGGCCAGAAGGGCUUCAGCUGUGGGCUGUACAAGGCAGGAGCAGACCUCCUCCACCUACUGCUCUGCAGCAGCUGAGGGCAAUGAACAACUUAACAGGCCAAACAGGACCUCUGGUAAGUGGCUACUAUUUGCUGCCUCAGAAGGCCAAGGAUUCCACCACAGCAUGUCUCAGUGAGCGUAUGGGUAUCUUGAGGAGCUGGAGGCUUCGGGCAGCUGCAAGCUGACAGGUCUUCUCCAUGCACAUUACAGAAGCACCACACUGCAGCGCCAACAACGUGAGCAAUUUCACCAAAUACCAUCAAUUCACUGAAGACAAGGGAGAGCAAUUUAAUACACACACCAAGGAUUGAGGAUCUGUACGUCACGAGGUCUGCUGCCCUCUGCGUUGCCAUCUAUGUGCUUAUGGGCAUCUGACUUUUUUCUUUAUGACUCAGUUUCCCAUAUAUGCCUGAGAGAAAUUAUUUGCAGCCAGGAGGUGAAUCAAGAGGUCAUACACUUCUGAGGUUAUUCUGGGUUAGUCAUUCAUCUUAGGACUUUAGUGGCAUACCUAUACAGAGCAAAUUGUACUAAUCUACAUCAGACUUGUGUGGAGAGAACAGAUACAUCAAAAGUUCAGAGGUCUGCAGAUACUCGAGUACUGUAUCUACAGAGCCAUACAAAUUCCUAAAAUAAACAGGUAACCAAAGGUGGGCCUGGACCUGGAUCUCCCCUGAACUUGAUGGGAAAAGGAACUGUGCAUCCAAGCUUCACAGCAGGCCCUUCUCCCUACCAUGCAACAAAAACCCAAGUCCCUUCUCAGUAAGAGGAGGUGUUGGGCAUAUGCCAGGAUAGCAAAUGUAAACAGGCAGCACCUCAUCAUUCCUUAGAGGGUGCUACCAGUAGACGCACACCCUGAAGGACAGCAGCACUGAACCUCAUGGAGAGUCUAUGGGAGAGACGGUUUAUGGAGAUGUCUGAGGUACAAAGAGCCCCCAGUGUUCUGCACAGUGGCGUGUGUUGGCCCUAAGGCACUUACUGGUGCGUGAGCCUAUGUGUUGCCAGCAGCCAUGCCACAACAGAAACUAGUAAAACUCUGGAGUAAUGCAGUGAGUUCAGUCCUGCAACAGUGUUAGAAAGUCUGUCAGGCAGGUAAGCAACCUCAAUAACAUAAGAGAAAAGGGAGGCAGUCUUCUGCCUUCUCAAGAUGCCUUUUGCUUUGGAAAGAGAGGGAAUCAAGUCCCUGAAAAAGAGUUUGAAGACUGCUCCACAUCCACAAUCUACAACCCUGGCAUGGUUUCCCCGUGCCCUAAAGCAGAGGCAAAAAUAGGAGGUGAAUAUAUUCAUUACCACAAACUGCAUAGUGAAACCAUCAGAAUGGGUAUUCUAAAAAAAGAAAUGAAACCUUUGCUUACGAAUAGACCUAAAAGAAUUGAAUACAUGUGUACAGAGGGAUCAUUUUCCACUACCUACAAGAGGAAAAAUCUCUGGGGAAGUGGCUGAUGCCAAAUAUUUUCUUAUGCUUCAUGUGUCAGCAGGGGCUCGCAGAAGCCCUUAAAAAACAGAACACGCAUUUUGUGCAAAUUGAGAAUCACAGUUUCUGGUGAUUUAGACUGCUUCACCAAACUUGAGACAUUUCUCCAAAAAUACAACAGAUGUCUGAUGAUGGACCAAGUUUUCAGCAUUUACACAGAUCAGAUGAUGUUAAGAUCAGCAGAAAAAAAACCAACACAGAAUAACAUGCUAAAGGGCUUCAGAGCUGCCUGAGAAGAAACUAAGCUGGCUAGACAGACAAAAAUGCUAAUUUCUCACAGCAACUAUAAAACGCUGUCCAGAGACACUGUCAGAGCCAGGUAUACAGCAAGGUUACAGAGGAGCUGAGAUGUGUGCAGAAGCAGCGGGCACAAAUACUUGCUGAAAUGAGAGCCCUAGGAGAUGUGCACAACUUGGUCGUGUGACCUGCCAACCCCAGGGCACUGCUGUAAGGCAUCCAGCUGACUUUGGCUACAAAUGAUAACAACUGCAGAAAAUGAAAGAGGUGACUGAAGAGGAGGCAGCCCCGUGGUAUCUUAACGGCACACACGAGACAGAGUUGUCCCCAGAAGAGAACUGAGCUAAUGGUCUUGCUAUAUAGUCAGAACUGGAGGACAGUAAUUUCUGUGCAAUAAACACUAACAAAACCUGAGUGUCAGAGAGAAAGGAUUUGGCAUUUGCCCAAGAAUGUAAAAAGUUUCCUCGAUUAUGAUUUAAUUUUUAAGAGAACCGACCGUAAGCCACUUGCUGUGAUUGCCAAACUGGCCUGACAAACCCCCUCUCCUCACAGACACGAAGAAUUUUUUUUCACUUACAAAUUUAUGAUUUGCAGAUUGGGAGGGAUUUGGCAGGUUCAAACUUAAUCCCUGGAGCAUUUGAUGAAAAUACAAUGAUGCAAAGUCCAGAGCUAGACUUUGUAGGUGAUGAUUUGCUUAAAAAUGGUGGGGAUGAAAUCCAGCAGAAAAUGUAAGAGACGGUCACUGAAUAGUCUCAGCGUUGUUACUGACUUCAGAUAAAGUAUGAAUGUACAAAAAAUGAUAUAACCUCUCUUGAUGGUUAUUUUCUACUUGAGUAAAGGUAACUUUACUGUAAGGAACUAGUACUAAAAACAUGGCAGGGUACAUCAAACUUCUCGCUGCUAUACAUACCGUACCUGCCAAGGGAAACAAGCUCUGACAAUGGAGCAGGAAUAAAUAAAUGUAAGACAUCUGCAGUAUAUACAGAUUUAGUUCUCCUACUCUAGCUUCAUUAUUCCUCAUCAAAUGAGUAGGUACGAAAUAGUAUCAAAAGAAGCUGGCAACUACUGAGAAAAUGUGUGGAAUUAGGCUGUUUUAAAUCUCUUAUAUCAAGGUGGAACCCAUGAAGGAAGUGCGUCAACUACUGAUAUUUUGUAUGAUGGAAAAAUAAAAUGAAAUUCUUUUAGUUCCUUUAGUCUCUCAAUUCCCCCUCAUCUUCAGGGGUUCCCUUUAAGUCACAGGUGUUUGGAAGAAGAGUAGAGAGAGUCCAGGGCACAGCAAACUCCUAACAAAAUGACCUACCACCCUUAACAACUGCAGGAGUGAUUUUCCAGAGAUGCAAGCAAUGCCACCAGUUCCUCAAGAUUCAUCAAGCAGGGUUUACAUGUUAUUGGUUGUAAUUGUUUGCAGCCAUGUAUUAACACAUCUCUGAAUUCUGAUUUGGAAAACUCAGUGAUUGGAGGACCUCUAGCAUUAACAAAUGCCCUUUCCAGUUUGUGAAUCUCAAUCAGGUGCUGCAAAGCCCUCAUUUUAUUGUGAACAGCUGGAUGAAACCAAAUGCAUAACAAAGCAAAUCUUUCACAAGCAGCUUAAGCACUGGAUGCACAAUGAGGACAAUUGCAUUUCAGCCCAGAUGUAGUUGCACUUAAGCCACAGGGAAGUAAUUCAUUUAUAUGCAAACUUCUCAAGCACUUUGGGAUGAGAGUACUAUACACAAUCAGUUUAAUACACUCUACUUAUGUGACAAACUCCCGUUUUGUAUUAUUGUUUUCCUAGUUUUGCUGUGCCAAUCAUACUGCAAUCCCUCGUCUUCAUUCUGAUCGUGGUGGAACAGCAGGCAGAUACUUUCAAAAAAUCCAGCAGAAUUAAAAACUUGCAAUGGAUAUUGUUCCUAUGCGUGCAUCCUGCCCAUGCUCAGAAACCGUUAAUGUUCCAUUUCUUUCUUCCAGGCCAACAAGUGGCUGCCGAUAUUCAUGUGGCAUUAAUGUGGCUUUGAACACUCAGUGUACUUUACCCAUAAGGUAGCAAAUCCUAGGCACUGUUUGUGGUGCUUGAGCAUCUCUUUCAGGGUCCCUCCUGCCUUCACUUUCUACUGUGAUGCUCUCCUGCCUCAGCAGAAACAACCAACCUACACACCAACAGCUGCAAAUUCUUCCUGAUUUGAGAAGUCUUCUGGAACAAUUUGGUAACUUGCUCUAUUCCUUUUUGUGGAACCCCGCAAAAAAUGUCUGAAGUGACUGUGUUAUCUAGUAGGUAAAUAAGGAGAUUAGAAACCCUGAAACCACCUUUGGUCUUGUACAGUACUGCUGAAAAUAGACAUCACAUGAUGUCUAAAUUAAGUAUGUGUUGACUGCCUAAGGCAGCUUCACCCCAAAUCGAAUGCCACUGUAUCAUGCAGUGCCUACACAGCUUCCCGUCUUUUGUUUCCUCAUCUGUAACACUCAGCCAUCCUAAGGGUGUAUUGAGAGUUCACUGGCAUUUCAGAAGACUUUUGAGAUUCUUGGAAGAACGAUCUAGUAUGAACACAAAACAGCUGAUAUUAUUUCUUCCUUUUUUAGUGACAUUCCUCUGCUGCUGAUAUUAUGCUCUCACAUUCCUGAGCUAAGCUUGUUUGAGGGACUUGAUCUUAGUUGGGCUUAAAAUCUGUUUUCUUCCACAGAGGGGAUGCUGAAAUACACCUUUAAGCACAGCAAACCUCAAAUGCUUGGAAGCCCUGCAUUCAAGGUCUCUUCAAACUGCCUUCAUCUGACCUUCUUCAUCUUUCUUGAUAAACUCAAACAAGGAAAGCUAGAACAGUUCAAUACAAGCAUGUUCUGCAUACCCUGUAGCCUCGUGCAAUUUGAACAAACGAUUUAGUACAGAUUAGAAGGUUUGGUUUCUAGCCAAAAAUCUGCAAUUAGAUACCCACAUGAUUCCAGUUUUUGACAGGAGGUAUAGUCCCAAAUUUGAAUAUAAAUUCCCACUCCAGGACCAAAGCUCUAUGUAGACUAUGUGUGUAGACACACCUUCUAGAGGCCUUGUAAAUACAAUCACCUCUUUUUUUCUCCAUCUAAAAAACUGGGACUGCAAUAGAGGUGUUUAGAGAAGUUCAUUUCUAGAAGUAUUUACAAAAGUUAAAUAUUGCUUGUUUCAGUCUUGUUCCAUUAUGAAGAAGUCCUGUAAUGUUUUCAUCCUCUGUUAAAGAGUUCUUCACUUGCACUCUUUACGUUGCUUAAUUAAAUUGUACCAGGUUGUUUCACGAGUUGGCCUCUCUUAUGGCUUUCUGCAGUUACAGAGCGAUGGAAGAGGGGUGUUUAGAGAGCAAGUAACAGAGAGGGAAUUGUUGACAAAAGGUUUCAGCUCCCUGGCUGUGCUCUCUAAGCAGCUCUGUCUGCAACAGCUCUUCUUUCAUGUUGCGUCUUUGACAGAACAAUUCCCAUUCAAAAAGCAUCAGCAAGCACUAGAAGCACACCCACAUGUUAGGUGCUCAAGCACAAUCCCUGUAGCUCUUGAAUUUCCCUCUCUGCAGGGAGGCCUUAACUUGGUGAUGCCAUUGUGAAUGGAUGAGUGGGAGAAAGACAUUAUCAGUAACAGUGGGUAAUGCAAAUGACAAUUUGCAUUAAGAUGGUGUCAGGCUUGGUCCAUGGCUUUCCACGAAGAUAUUGGUGCUAAAGCAUCUCCUGGGCAGGGCUGAGCCUUCAGAGGAGGAGAGCUGAAAUAAUCCCUGAUCCAGGAUGAGGGCACCAGAAGAGCUCUGUACCUCAGGGGUAGUGGAGGAGCCCUGCUGGCUGCAGCAAUGGAACUGGGGCCUACGGAGGCCUCAGAGCAGAAGAAAUCACACCUGUCCCUCCUGAGGUUGUGUGGAGCUCAGCUGGGGAAGUGGGCUCGUUAUGCUGGCUGUACCAUCAGCCGGUCCCUUUGGAAGUCAUGCUGGACUCUGAGAGACGGCAGUUCCCUUCAACACGCCCAGUCACACAUAGCUAAUGGAACCAGGAUUAUUGCAGCAAUUUAGGAAAAAAAAAAAAGGAAAGCAUGUAUUGCCAGGUUGGAUAAAACGUAAGGCUUGAUGUGGGCAGAGCUCCUGCCAGCUGAAGUGUUUGCACCUGGUCUUACUGGAAAUCCACGGGGCAGAAGAUUCUUGCUGAAGUGUUUGUGUUGCCAUCAGCAUGGCAGCGACUCUCCCGCACGUACUCAGACACCCAGGAGGCCAGGGCUCAGGGCUCUUCGAGGAGGUCAGUUUUUAUAUAGUAAAGCAAACAGUUUAGCUAAUCAAGGAUAUUUUUUCUUUUCUUUUCUGAGGCUCUUGGCAUCCAGCCCUGUUACUUGCAAUCUUUAAUUUGUACUGUGGCUUCCUUUUCCCUGCUGCCUUCUCACUCACUCCAAUUUUCCCACACACUUGUUUCCUAACUCUACCUCCUAUGGAGGUCGUCAUUUAUUUCAGACCCAAAUUUAUCUCAGUCCUACACAACGCUGCUGUUACCUCACCAUUUAUUCCUGUAAAAGACUGUCACUGGAUAUUCAUGAGAUUGACAAGUUUGUGGAAAAACAAUGGAGCCAUUUUUUGUAAGAUAGAAAAUAGUUGAUGGUUACAUCAGAUAGUUGUAAAUUUAUUCAUACGCACUUGUAUAAAUCGAUUGUAUAUCAACUUGGACCUUCUUUUUGGUUAUACAGCUGUCUGAGUGGCAACAGUGGGUUUUCAGGUUUGGUUUUUUUGUGUUUUUUUUUUUUAAAGGUUCUGUGUGUGUCUGUGGUAGAAAUGGGAUGCGAGCGGUACAUCUCGCUCACAAGAUGGCCACGGAAAAGCCUGUUACCAUAAAGCUUCUGCAAAAAGGGAGAAGAUUCUGACGAAACAAAGUCACGUUUUGGCAGAUUCUUCCUCAAACUUUCCUUCAGCUAAAAAAAAUGCCCAUACAAACACGGAGGAGAUAAAGGCUUUUUUUCUGGUUACCACAGCUACGCAGCCACACAGCAUUUGCCCACAUCACAGAGUCUGGCUUGCUCCAGAGCUGAUAAUGAGAUGCACAGGAACACGGGUCAGAAGAGACAUGCUUGAUCACCGGGUUCUGUCCCAGA